Molecule: long non-coding RNA, 836 nt
Filed under: Brassica rapa (field mustard)
Lineage: Eukaryota; Viridiplantae; Streptophyta; Magnoliopsida; Brassicales; Brassicaceae
Description: long non-coding RNA (BRAP_LNC007806)
Source: RNAcentral
GACCACUUAUUUAUAUUUACACAUGUUUAAAGGAAAAAGAAAAAUUAAGUAUGAUACAUAUCCAUUUGUUCCUAAAAAUAGGUUUAGACAAUGAUUACCAUACAUUUUAAUUUCUUUCCCUCUCAAAAAUGACACUGAAAUGUCCAUGAAUGCAUUUAAAGUUUUUGGAGAUUGCAAAACUCUUUCCUUGAUUUUAAAAUGGUUCAAAUAGAAAAUGAAAAAAAAAACUAGUUUGUUAAUUUCCCUUUUCUUUAAUGGUUUCCAUAGUGUGUUAGCUAAACAAGUUAAGUAUAUAACAUAACAGUAGUUAACUAGUAUUAUUUUAGCCGAUGAAGUAGGUCUAAGUUUGAUGUGAGAAAAUGACUUUAGAUUAAAACUUUGGAGCUCUCGACCAUAAACAUGAAAAUGGAUUUGGCAACAACCGUUUCUUCUUUUUUUUUUUUUUUUUUUUUUUUUUUGUCAGACAACAACCGUUUCUUCUUGUGAAGUGUUUGUUGCAUUUCCUUAAACAUUUAUUUUAUUUACACAGUUUUAUACGAAGAAAAGAAUAAAAUUGUGAAAAUAUCAAUAUCUUGGAGUUUGUCCAUCUAUUAAACGCCUAGAGCUUUAUUUUUCGUAUAUAAUAAUUUUAUAUAUAAGAAAUUUCGGACGAUGGAUUUUAGAUUUUGGAGACUUCGUGUAGGCUAUAGACUGGAUCUCCUGUUUAUAUAAAUAGUUAAACUAGUAUGUUGCAAAUAGUAGAUCGUUGUACAUGUUCUUUUAUCAUACGAUAUAAUCUUUAGUAUAUAGAUUCAGACAGAUGAGUGGGAGUAAGAAAUAAUGGCUUAACGCUGAAG